RNAcentral lists this long non-coding RNA (489 nucleotides) under Ricinus communis (castor bean). Its description in RNAcentral is "long non-coding RNA (RCOM_LNC002352)". Lineage: Eukaryota; Viridiplantae; Streptophyta; Magnoliopsida; Malpighiales; Euphorbiaceae. The record is from RNAcentral.
GAUCAUAUCUUAGUAGUUUCUAAAAUUUGGUUUCUUCAAAUAUGAUUUUGAGGACUGUUUUUCAAAUAUGGAUUCCAUAUAGCAUGAUUUUCUUUGUAACUAUAGAGAUUCUAAUAAACAAUUCAGAAACCUUGGGCCUUGAAGUGGUAAGGUGAAGGUGGACUGCUGCGGAUCCUUUUAAGAGUUAAAUGUACAGUGAAUAUGUAUCUGGAAAAGUUUGUCUAUCAGGGGGAAGUUCAUACUGCAUACCUCUGGAAGGUUCUGCAUAAUCUUGAAGCAUUAUUUUAGUAUGUCUUUUGUUGCUUUAAAAUAUAGUCCUAAUUGGAAGAGACCUAGAAUUCAUUUGAGGUUUGUUUGAACUUCUGAUACUGUUGUCUUAACUUGUCUAUUUAUGUGGUAUAGAUUUUAGAUAUUAUUCUCAUGUCACACCUUUGUUAACAGAUGAAUUUUGCUGUCUAUUCUCUAGCUUUUGUUUGACAUCACCCUGCA